GAGUUUGAUCCUGGCUCAGGACGGACGCUGGCGGCGCGCCUAACACAUGCAAGUCGAACGAGCGAGAGAGAGCUUGCUUUCUCGAGCGAGUGGCGAACGGGUGAGUAACGCGUGAGGAACCUGCCUCAAAGAGGGGGACAACAGUUGGAAACGACUGCUAAUACCGCAUAAGCCCACGACCCGGCAUCGGGUUGAGGGAAAAGGAGCAAUCCGCUUUGAGAUGGCCUCGCGUCCGAUUAGCUGGUUGGUGAGGUAACGGCCCACCAAGGCAACGAUCGGUAGCCGGACUGAGAGGUUGAACGGCCACAUUGGGACUGAGACACGGCCCAGACUCCUACGGGAGGCAGCAGUAGGGAAUCUUCGGCAAUGGGCGAAAGCCUGACCGAGCAACGCCGCGUGAAUGAUGAAGGCCUUCGGGUUGUAAAAUUCUGUUAUAAGGGAAGAACGACUUUAGUAGGAAAUGGCUAGAGUGUGACGGUACCUUAUGAGAAAGCCACGGCUAACUCUGUGCCAGCCGCCGCGGUAAUAC
RNAcentral lists this ribosomal RNA (529 nucleotides) under uncultured bacterium. Its description in RNAcentral is "bacterial SSU rRNA". It matches the Rfam family "Bacterial small subunit ribosomal RNA", at positions 9 to 526 of the family's 1533-position model. The record is from RNAcentral.